Molecule: ribosomal RNA, 468 nt
Filed under: uncultured bacterium
Lineage: Bacteria
Description: bacterial SSU rRNA
Rfam family: Bacterial small subunit ribosomal RNA
Source: RNAcentral
AAUCAACGCUGGCGGCGUGCCUAACACAUGCAAGUCGAACGCGGUUAGCCCGCAAGGGUUUAACUGAGUGGCGAACGGGUGAGUAACACGUGGGUGACCUACCUUCGAAUGGGGGAUAACGUCCCGAAAGGGACGCUAAUACCGCAUAACAUCCUGCUUUUGAACAGGUGGAGAUCAAAGCUGGGGAUCGCAAGACCUGGCGUUUGAAGAGGGGCCCGCGUCUGAUUAGCUAGUUGGNGAGGCAACGGCUCACCAAGGCGACGAUCAGUAUCCGGCCUGAGAGGGCGGACGGACACACUGGGACUGAGACACGGCCCAGACUCCUACGGGAGGCAGCAGUGGGGAAUUGUUCGCAAUGGGCGCAAGCCUGACGACGCAACCGCCGCGUGGAGGAUGAAGGUCUUCGGAUUGUAAACUCCUGUUGCCCGGGACGAAAGCUUCAACCUAAUACGUUGAAGUCUGACGGUA